Molecule: microRNA precursor, 67 nt
Filed under: Tupaia belangeri chinensis (Chinese tree shrew)
Lineage: Eukaryota; Metazoa; Chordata; Mammalia; Scandentia; Tupaiidae
Description: Tupaia chinensis (Chinese tree shrew) mir-367 microRNA precursor family
Rfam family: mir-367 microRNA precursor family
Source: Rfam by way of RNAcentral
CCGUCACUGUUGCUAGUGUGCAACUCUGGGGACACGGGCUGGAAUUGCACUUUAGCAAUGGUGACGG